GUGCGGUUAAGGCCUGCACCCCAAGUAGGAGAGCACACAUUGGGAGGCUCAACCGCCAUUUCUCUCUUGGCUCUCUAAGAGGGUGGGCAGAUCUGGAUUCUAAGCCAUUUCACAGCAAACACGCGUCUCUAACCACCAGCAUUGGCUUAAUUGGGGCUGCUUCCAAACCAGGUCCUCUCCUGCCUGCUACUUCCUAAAAAAGAAGCAAAACCACCGAGGAUUUUGCUGUAGGAUCCGAGGAAACCCCAGGCCUUGUCCCUUGAGUAGACUACUACUAUGCGGGGAGCAGCUACAACGCAGUCCACAGUGGCCGCAGCAACGCAAUCACAGAUGCAGACGCAGACGAGGAAUGGGGUUCUCCAAAGAAACACACAUAAGUCACUACAGACCGUUGCCAUGGGGACAGCAUACCCUCACAGGCAGCCAAAGGCAAGACUGAGGAUGGGUCAUGUGACCAGACAGCAGCCAGUGGUCCCUGGCAGUUUGAGAGAGAGAAUCCAAAAGAUGGAGAGAGUGGAAGCAUCAAAAGAUAAAACACGCAAGAGACACAGGAGAAGAGUUCUGGGGACCACAGGAGAAAGGGCAGAAGGGACAUCUGGCGAGCACGUGAAGGAAAGACAUUGCGCUAGCACGUGGAGGAGAAGACAGCGGGGGGGGGGGGGGGGGGGAGGAAGCACGCGGAGGAGAGGACAUGGGGCAAGCGCGUGGAGGAGAGGACAUGGGGCAAGCAGGUGGAGAAGAGGCCAUUGGGUGAGCAUGUUGAAAGAACAUCUGGCGAGCGCUUGA
Molecule: long non-coding RNA, 786 nt
Filed under: Mus spicilegus (steppe mouse)
Lineage: Eukaryota; Metazoa; Chordata; Mammalia; Rodentia; Muridae
Description: lncRNA (ENSMSIG00000018303.1)
Source: RNAcentral